ACGGUCAAGGCAACGAUGCAGAACUUCACUCAGAACCGGCUGGAUACAGCAAGAGCAGAAUUCCAAGAAAUGGAAGAAAAAAUGGAAAAGAAUCUGGGAAAACUACAGCGGCAGCUGGAUGAAGCCACUUCAAAGGUGCAGGUUCUCCAGGAUGAACUUCACGUGCUGCAGAACUACAUGGACAGGGAAUAUCCAGCAAAAGCUGUCCAGAUAGCCUCUCUGCUGCACAAGAUCCAGAACCUCAAGGAGCAACAGCAGCAUGAGAUAGAUGAGACAGAAGCACUGGGGAAAGCCUUCCUGGAGGAACUGGAAGUGAAACUGCGGGUGGAACAGGAGGAGAUAUUAGACAGAGCCGUGGAGGUUGGUGGAGUUCAUUUGCUUUCUCAGCAAGAGGGACCAGUUUCUGGGAGCUGCCAGACAGCGCAGGGGAUUCUAGACUUUGCCCAUUAG
This 450-nucleotide long non-coding RNA is filed under the name Dromaius novaehollandiae (emu). RNAcentral's name for it is "lncRNA (ENSDNVG00000003980.1)". Lineage: Eukaryota; Metazoa; Chordata; Aves; Casuariiformes; Dromaiidae. The record is from RNAcentral.